This 427-nucleotide ribosomal RNA is filed under the name uncultured bacterium. RNAcentral's name for it is "partial 16S ribosomal RNA". It matches the Rfam family "Bacterial small subunit ribosomal RNA", at positions 355 to 774 of the family's 1533-position model. The record is from RNAcentral.
UGGGGAAUAUUGCACAAUGGGCGCAAGCCUGAUGCAGCCAUGCCGCGUGUAUGCAGAAGGCCUUCGGGUUGUAAAGUACUUUCAGCGAGGAGGAAGGCGUUGUGGUUAAUAACCGCAGCGAUUGACGUUACUCGCAGAAGAAGCACCGGCUAACUCCGUGCCAGCAGCCGCGGUAAUACGGAGGGUGCAAGCGUUAAUCGGAAUUACUGGGUGUAAAGCGCACGCAGGCGGUCUGUCAAGUCGGAUGUGAAAUCCCCGGGCUCAACCUGGGAACUGCAUCCGAAACUGGCAGGCUAGAGUCUUGUAGAGGGGGGUAGAAUUCCAGGUGUAGCGGUGAAAUGCGUAGAGAUCUGGAGGAAUACCGGUGGCGAAGGCGGCCCCCUGGACAAAGACUGACGCUCAGGUGCGAAAGCGUGGGGAGCAAACA